CCCUACGGGGCGCAGCAGGCGCGAAAACUUUACAAUGCUGGAAACAGCGAUAAGGGGACCUCGAGUGCCAGGUUACAAAUCUGGCUGUCGUGAUGCCUAAAAAGCAUUGCAUAGCAAGGGCCGGGCAAGNCCGGUGCCAGCCGCCGCGGUAACACCGGCGGCUCGAGUGGUAACCGUUAUUAUUGGGUCUAAAGGGUCUGUAGCCGGCCGGAUAAGUCUCUUGGGAAAUCUGGCAGCUUAACUGUCAGGCUUUCAGGAGAUACUGUCUGGCUCGAGGCCGGGAGAGGUGAGAGGUACUUCAGGGGUAGGGGUGAAAUCCUGUAAUCC
RNAcentral lists this ribosomal RNA (327 nucleotides) under uncultured archaeon. RNAcentral describes it as "bacterial SSU rRNA". It matches the Rfam family "Archaeal small subunit ribosomal RNA", at positions 321 to 648 of the family's 1478-position model. The record is from RNAcentral.